This 633-nucleotide ribosomal RNA is filed under the name Enterococcus hirae. RNAcentral describes it as "bacterial SSU rRNA". It matches the Rfam family "Bacterial small subunit ribosomal RNA", at positions 137 to 756 of the family's 1533-position model. Lineage: Bacteria; Bacillati; Bacillota; Bacilli; Lactobacillales; Enterococcaceae. The record is from RNAcentral.
AAGGGGAUAACACUUGGAAACAGGUGCUAAUACCGUAUAACAAUCGAAACCGCAUGGUUUUGAUUUGAAAGGCGCUUUCGGGUGUCGCUGAUGGAUGGACCCGCGGUGCAUUAGCUAGUUGGUGAGGUAACGGCUCACCAAGGCGACGAUGCAUAGCCGACCUGAAAGGGUGAUCGGCCACAUUGGGACUGAGACACGGCCCAAACUCCUACGGGAGGCAGCAGUAGGGAAUCUUCGGCAAUGGACGAAAGUCUGACCGAGCAACGCCGCGUGAGUGAAAAAGGUUUUCGGAUCGUAAAACUCUGUUGUUAGAGAAGAACAAGGAUGAGAGUAACUGUUCAUCCCUUGACGGUAUCUAACCAGAAAGCCACGGCUAACUACGUGCCAGCAGCCGCGGUAAUACGUAGGUGGCAAGCGUUGUCCGGAUUUAUUGGGCGUAAAGCGAGCGCAAGCGGUUUCUUAAGUCUGAUGUGAAAGCCCCCGGCUCAACCGGGGAGGGUCAUUGGAAACUGGGAGACUUGAGUGCAGAAGAGGAGAGUGGAAUUCCAUGUGUAUCGGUGAAAUGCGUAUAUAUAUGGAGGAACACCAGUGGCGAAGGCGGCUCUCUGGUCUGUAACUGACGCUGAGGCUCGA